UUGGAACAAAAACUGAAUUUUAUUCCACAUACUGCACUUCAGGUGUCUGCAUUUAGAUCACACCUAUCACAAACAAAAAUGCCGCAGUGGUACAACUAAAUACACUUCGAGUGAACAGAGAAAUGUGGAAUGUUUUUAUACUUAUCAGACUUUUGUGUUCAUUUGUAGAAUCCAUAUUGUAUACAGGAUAGUAACUUACAAACAAUAUCAUCAACUCAAGAUUUUUUUUCUUUCAAAUAAAGUGCAUUUCUACUACUCUCUCUGUCAACCACGAAAAGAACAAGACAUUUUAAAACAUGUAUUAUAGACACCACUGAUCAGCAAAAGGCCUGAAUUUUGAUACAAUAACUGCAGGAGUUUACAGUUUGUUUUCUUAAUCGGGUGAUUUGAGAUGACCUGAUGACUCCUUUAUUACAUCAAGGUAUAAAAGGACUCCUUGCUGUGAAUAUAAGACAGUAUAUUUAAAAAUGUAACUAUUCACAAAGAUAUAAUUAACAGUCACAACGGAAAAUUAAUAAUUCAUGUUUCAAGUGUUCAUUUUAUAAUUACUGCAAAUAUUUUGUCAUUAGAACUGUAAAUGCAUAUUUGGUAACCGUAUGGCUAACAACAACCAUCAAAUCAGUGCUCUGCACUUCAUCAAGGAAACACUCACUUCUAAUAGAUUAUGAUUUUUCAAAUAUUUGAUAUCAAUGCUAACCACUGGAGGGCAGUAGAGUAGUGUGUCAAAUGGGAAAAGAAAUCCCUGCCAAGCACGUAAGGCAUGGGAUAUGUUUUCAUAUUCAUGAAUGGUUAUGUGAAAAAACUGUAGAGUGCCAACACAGCAGAGAUCAGCCUCCCGGUUUGUAGCUCUAUGCAGUCUUAAGCUCAUUGUUGCGGGUUUCCAGGCAGAUACAACAAUGUAAAGCAACAAGCGGCUGCUCUUCGUUAAACUGUACACUGAACACCCAGUCGGAAAUGACCGAGACAAACUUUCACUAGAUAUGUUGUGCAGACUGAACCACUUGUUUGAGGUUUGGAGGUAAAAGUACAUUUCAGUCCGUGAACUUCUGCCUUGGUGUCAGAUUUACAUGCUGUUGUUGGCUGAAUCAGUUUCCCUUUUACAUUUUUAGAACCUCGAAUAUCUACAAUAAAUCAAAUCACUGGCAGAAAGUGACAAUUAACAAUCACAUCUGGAUUAAUCUGUUUAGCCACCUACUCUCACACAUGGAUUUGCAUAAGAUUAUGUACACUGGAUAGUCAUGAAUUACAAGAAAGUGACUAUGACCAAUGAGAGAGGAACAUCUUUUUGUGUGUGUGUGUCUCCUGUGAACAUUUCCCAGCAUUCCUGCUGAGAUCACUAACAAACAUGUUUAUCUGUAUGUUGCACAGCAAAAUGUGAGGAUUAUAUUAAUCAGUCUGGACAAGCUAACUUGUAAGUACCUAAAUACAAAGUCAUUCUGAUUACACUGUAGAUAGCCUGGUUUAAUGAGAACAGGCUCGAUGUGAUAUUCCAUGUAUGCACAAACCCUACUUUUGCUAUAGAGCCCUUUAACAAGUAGAUUAUAGUAUGCUACAUCCAUGACUGCCUGCUUUUCCAGAUUUGACUGAAAACAACACAUGGGUUCACUGCAUAUGUGCAUAAUACAUUUUUCUAUGCCUUAACAUGCUAUAGUCUUCCAAGCAACCUUCACUGUGCCGGUUUAAUUUGUUGGGGAAGGAUUUCCUUCCUGCUUAAAAAAUACAAUAAUACUUUAACUGUUACUGGAUCCUGACUGCUCAUUUUGAGGGGAAUUUCCAUGCCAUGACCCUCGCUGAGUCGGCCGAGUCUUUGAACAGACACAAACAUGGUCACACGCUUCUUAAUCCACUCAUAAACACACUUGUGUCCUAAUUCGUGUGACCACAGGCGUAUGGAUUUAAAUGCAUGAAAAUCAGCUGCUGACACGGCUGCUUCCUGUGGCGAUGUGUGAGUGUGUGUUUGCGAAUGUGGCAGCAGCCAGAGAUGGAGUGAAGAAAAGGGCUGCGGUAGCCCAUCCUGUGAAGGAGAGAUAAGCGCCGAGCGCCGAGGUCUGACGUUCUUGCUUUCCUCUGUGGCCUUCAAGAACCACCAGAAAUUGUCCCAGGGUAGCUAAACACACAUGCGCUUGCACACACAAACACACACACACACAAAAUCCCCUGCGACAGAGAUUGCGAGACUGUGCUCGCUGUGACGUCCGCUGAUAGAGUGCCUGCUUUGGCUUCGUCUGACCGUUUAACUCAGGAAAGUAAACUGCUGGAUGAUGACUAAAGAGCUCAAUUAUCUUCUUACUCAGUAACUGUUUGAUGUGUCAACUUUGAUUUGACUGUUUCACUGCUUUGGUUGACGAGCAGUAAAAAAACCAAACAAAAAAACAAAAAAAAGGGCUGGCUGAAAGAAAAAAUAGAGUGACUGGAUUUGGUAUUCACAGUAUUCAGCAUGUUUUGAUCUGUAAAGCACUUUUUGACCAUCUUGUACCUAUUAUACAUGUACAGUACAAACCAUGUGACAUGCAUUCACACAGACCCACACAUAUACAUCUGAUAAAGUG
This is a long non-coding RNA of Oreochromis aureus, 2549 nucleotides long. The record is from Ensembl. Lineage: Eukaryota; Metazoa; Chordata; Actinopteri; Cichliformes; Cichlidae.